GACGAACGCUGGCGGCGUGCUUAACACAUGCAAGUCGAACGGAAAGGCCCUGCUUUUGUGGGGUGCUCGAGUGGCGAACGGGUGAGUAACACGUGAGUAACCUGCCCUUGACUGUGGGAUAACUUCAGGAAACUGGGGCUAAUACCGGAUAGGAGCUCCUGCUGCAUGGGGGGGGUUGGAAAGUUUCGGCGGUUGGGGAUGGACUCGCGGCUUAUCAGCUUGUUGGUGGGGUAGUGGCUUACCAAGGCUUUGACGGGUAGCCGGCCUGAGAGGGUGACCGGCCACAUUGGGACUGAGAUACGGCCCAGACUCCUACGGGAGGCAGCAGUGGGGAAUAUUGCACAAUGGGCGGAAGCCUGAUGCAGCAACGCCGCGUGCGGGAUGACGGCCUUCGGGUUGUAAACCGCUUUCGCCUGUGACGAAGCGUGAGUGACGGUAAUGGGUAAAGAAGCACCGGCUAACUACGUG
RNAcentral lists this ribosomal RNA (468 nucleotides) under uncultured bacterium. RNAcentral's name for it is "partial 16S ribosomal RNA". It matches the Rfam family "Bacterial small subunit ribosomal RNA", at positions 28 to 507 of the family's 1533-position model. The record is from RNAcentral.